RNAcentral lists this small RNA (651 nucleotides) under Pongo abelii (Sumatran orangutan). RNAcentral's name for it is "processed transcript". Lineage: Eukaryota; Metazoa; Chordata; Mammalia; Primates; Hominidae. The record is from RNAcentral.
CUGUUCGGCGGCGCUCCCAUGGCGCACAUUACCAUUAACCAGUACCUGCAGCAGGUGUACGAAGCCAUCGACACCAGAGAUGGAGCAUCUUGUGCAGAGUUGGUGUCUUUUAAACAUCCUCAUGUUGCAAACCCACGACUUCAAAUGGCCUCUCCAGAGGAGAAGUGUCAACAAGUCUUGGAACCCCCUUAUGAUGAAAUGUUUGCAGCUCAUUUAAGGUGCACUUACGCAGUGGGGAAUCAUGACUUCAUAGAGGCUUACAAGUGCCAGACCGUGAUAGUCCAGUCAUUCUUGCGAGCAUUCCAGGCCCACAAAGAAGAAAACUGGGCUCUGCCUGUCAUGUAUGCAGUAGCGCUUGACCUUCGAGUGUUUGCCAAUAAUGCAGAUCAGCAGUUGGUAAAGAAAGGAAAAAGCAAAGUUGGGGACAUGUUGGAAAAAGCAGCAGAGUUACUGAUGAGCUGUUUCCGGGUCUGUGCCAGUGACACGUGAGUAAGGACUUGAGGACCGACCACCAAACGCUGUUGGUGGUGUUUUCUUGCAGCGUUCACCCUUUCUGGCCUGUGUUUAUUGUUGACACAUAUUUCACUUCUACACGUUAAAAUCCCACAACCAUCAUUAUUUUUGCUUUAAAAAGUUGAUUGUUUUGUAAAG